UUCAGUGAAAGAGCAGGCCAGGGGGCUGCCGGCACUAGGAGCCAAAGAGAGUGCAGCCCCUCUAAGCUGGCAACGCUUGCAUUUAUUUAGCACAGAUUUAAUUAACAAAGGCUUUGAGUCAACACACCUGUGGGUAAUUAACCUGGUCACCGCCCCCCGCCACCUCCCUGGAGAGGGCCAUCUUGCCCGAGAAUGAUCAAAGGUUGAUUUUAGGACCAUAUGACUAAGCAAGCUAUUUAGAUAAAAUACUCCGCAUUCCUUUGUAUCUGCGCCCUAAGCUGUUUGGCUCCUGAAAAGAGAAUCUGGCUGCUUUCAGCCAAACUAUCUGAAGCUAUGCCAACCUCCCUGGCCUUCCAAGAAGGUUUGCUGCUUCCUAUUCCUAUAAUUUCUUCUGCUACUCUGACUGAUCUCCCACACUUGGGAGGUUGAGGCAGGAGAAUCCCUUGAACCAGGGAGGCAGAGGUUGCAGUGAGCCGAGAUCACACUACUGCACUCCAACUUGGGUGACAAGAGCGAGACUCCAUCUCAGAAAAAAAAGUUAAAAAAAAAUUGUAGGCCAGGCGUGGUGGCUCACGCCUGUGAUCCCAGCACUUUGGGAGGCCAAGGCGGGUGGAUCACCUGAGGUCCAGAGUUCGAGACCAGCCUGACCAACAUGGAGAAACCCCGUCUCUUCUAAAAAUAUAAAAUUAGCCAGGCGUGGUGGCGCAUGCCUGUAAUCCCAGCUGCUCUGGAGGCUGAGGCAGGAGAAUGGCUUGAGCCCAGGAGGCGGAGGUUGCGGUGAG
This 782-nucleotide long non-coding RNA is filed under the name Homo sapiens (human). RNAcentral's name for it is "HSALNT0262358". Lineage: Eukaryota; Metazoa; Chordata; Mammalia; Primates; Hominidae. The record is from RNAcentral.